CGGUAGCUAAUACCGCAUAACGUCGCAAGACCAAAGAGGGGGACCUUCGGGCCUCUUGCCAUCGGAUGUGCCCAGAUGGGAUUAGCUAGUAGGUGGGGUAACGGCUCACCUAGGCGACGAUCCCUAGCUGGUCUGAGAGGAUGACCAGCCACACUGGAACUGAGACACGGUCCAGACUCCUACGGGAGGCAGCAGUGGGGAAUAUUGCACAAUGGGCGCAAGCCUGAUGCAGCCAUGCCGCGUGUAUGAAGAAGGCCUUCGGGUUGUAAAGUACUUUCAGCGGGGAGGAAGGGAGUAAAGUUAAUACCUUUGCUCAUUGACGUUACCCGCAGAAGAAGCACCGGCUAACUCCGUGCCAGCAGCCGCGGUAAUACGGAGGGUGCAAGCGUUAAUCGGAAUUACUGGGCGUAAAGCGCACGCAGGCGGUUUGUUAAGUCAGAUGUGAAAUCCCCGGGCUCAACCUGGGAACUGCAUCUGAUACUGGCAAGCUUGAGUCUCGUAGAGGGGGGUAGAAUUCCAGGUGUAGCGGUGAAAUGCGUAGAGAUCUGGAGGAAUACCGGUGGCGAAAGGCGG
RNAcentral lists this ribosomal RNA (573 nucleotides) under bacterium. Its description in RNAcentral is "bacterial SSU rRNA". It matches the Rfam family "Bacterial small subunit ribosomal RNA", at positions 157 to 724 of the family's 1533-position model. The record is from RNAcentral.